CGGCGGUUAAACGAGACGAAGAAAGAGGAAAGAAGGGAGGGAAAGGAACUCUGGUUACCCGAAGAUGUCAGCACGUUGACUCGUGUUUCGCGGUGGCAGCGGCGGUGUACGCGAGAUCGGUGGUGGUUCCUACUAUCCCGCGAGUGGAGUGCAGUGUGUGGACUGUGGUGUAGUACGUUUGAGAAACGGAGCUGGUACACGUACGUACGCGAGGAGCUGUGGUGUGGUUGCGCGUUUUCGUCUCCUCCCGUGCCGCGGGGGCUGCCCUUCGCGAGAAUCCGCGUCACGCAUGGCACCGCUCCUCCGCCGUGCCUAAGACGCCUUUUUCCCGGAGACAGAGAGAGCGAGAUCGCGACCGGGGCCCAGCCUCUUCGCGUGCCUCGUCUCGUUUUGCCGUUUUUUUUUCUCUCUCUCUCGAACGCCGAGGUGAUCGCGAGUUUACAACCGAGCCGACAGAAUGACCAGCCAGGAGACGCGUGACCAAGGGAUCAGCAAUGUAGAGACCGAGUACCUCGAGAUCAACUCGAAAGAAGCCUGGCCGAUCCUCUAUCAGCAUAUACGUAACGAAUGCAGCAAUUUCACAUUCACAUGUAACGAAUCAAAGAAACCACAGAACAAAAAUUUGAAUCGUUAUAGAGAUGUUGCCCCUUAUGACCAUAGUAGAAUUGUCCUUAAAAGGGGGCCAUGUGAUUACAUUAAUGCCAACCUUAUAAGGGUAGAUCGUGCUCACAGACAAUACAUUCUUACCCAAGGACCAUUGGAAAAUACUGCUGGCCAUUUUUGGUUAAUGGUAUGGGAGCAAAAUUCUAAAGCAGUGUUAAUGUUAAAUAAAAUAAUUGAAAAGAAUCAAGUUAAGUGUUAUCAGUAUUGGCCUCUGGGUGAUCUGUUGGAUGAUACUAUGACAUUUCUGGAUGUUGGUAUAAAAGUAGAAUAUGUCAGGAAAACAGAUUCAUCGGAUUACACGACUAGAAUAUUAAAAUUAACAGAUUUGGAAUCGAAAGAAAGUAGAGAAAUACUACACUUUCACUAUACUACUUGGCCAGAUUUUGGAGUACCGCAGAGCCCAACAGCCUUUCUUCGUUUUCUGGCUGAUGUUAGGCAAUCGGGAGCAUUGGAUCAAAAUGUUGGGCCCCCGGUUGUUCAUUGUUCUGCUGGUAUUGGAAGAUCAGGAACAUUUUGCUUAGUAGACACCUGCCUUGUUUUGAUUGAAGAAAAUGGAUUGAAUUCUGUGAAUGUUAGAGACGUAUUGAUUGAAAUGAGAAGAUCCAGAAUGGGUUUAAUCCAGACGCCGGAUCAAUUGAGAUUUUCGUAUGCUGCUAUCAUCGAAGGAGCAAAACAAUUGCCAUCCAAUAACGUGAACAUUGAUAAUGAGAUAGUAACAAAUCAUUAUGAUAUAGUAAAUAAUAUUAGUCAUUCUUCGAUCGAAGAAGAAGACGAACCGCCUCCUUUGCCACCACCGAGAGGUGAGUCGUUAACGCGUAGUAUGAUGGCGGAUUUAACUUCAAAUGUAACGACGAAAAACGAUGAAUUAGGUGGACCUCCUGAUAAACCAUUGCCAAGGGAACCGCCGACUCACGUAGAAACAUCGAACAAUCCACCACGCGCAAACUCUACAGUGAUCACGAAUAAUUUACACGAAAACAAUUCCGACGAUGUUGCAGUGCCUAAUGAAACCAGAAGUGACGGUGAAAAUUCUUUGCAGACGAACAGCCCUCCGUCCAGUCCAAAUGCGAAAAACGAAGUACGUCAGCGCACUAAAGAAAAGAACGAACGUUUGACAGCAUGCGUACGGGAGAUCAAGCGUCGACAAAAGGAGACAGAAGAAUGGCAAAAGCUCAAGAGAUCUAAAAGCGAAACUACCGAAACCAGCGAAACCGUGCACGAGGAGGCCGAGCCGGCGAUCUAAAUGUACCGUAAAGAAACGAACCGAGAUCGCGAUUUAAGUGCCCUAAGAGACAUACAUAGACACACACACACAUACAUACAUACAUUCACGUACUCACAUAUAUACAGAGAGAAAGAGACAUACACGUUACAAAGAAUGACAAGCAGAGAGAGAGAGAGAGAGAGAGAGUGAGAGAGAGAGAGAAAGAGAGAGAGAGAGAGAGAGACGUUCGUUAUUUUCGAAACGUUUUAUACACCACGAGCUAAUGAAGCUAUUUAUUGAAGACCAUCCAUGAACAAAAGUACAUAAAUUGGAGGAAAUAAAUCGAUGUGUUUGGUACAACUCGAUCCUCGAUCCUUUGAUGCCGCGCGAGAAGACUUUUUUUUGGGCAUCCCGUGACGAUUCAUCCUAUCCCGUGAGCUUCGAUCUUCAUCCCUUAUUCGUCUUCUCUUGGAUACCAUGGUAUUAUAAUUACCCUUUCCUGUAUAGUCGGGACUGGUAGCGCG
RNAcentral lists this unclassified non-coding RNA (2391 nucleotides) under Dufourea novaeangliae. RNAcentral describes it as "tyrosine-protein phosphatase non-receptor type 1, transcript variant X2". Lineage: Eukaryota; Metazoa; Arthropoda; Insecta; Hymenoptera; Halictidae. The record is from RNAcentral.